GAUGAAGAACGUAGCGAAAUGCGAUAAGUAGUGUGAAUUGCAGAAUUCAGUGAAUCAUCGAAUCUUUGAACGCACAUUGCGCCCUUCGGUAUUCCGUUGGGCAUGCCUGUUCGAGCGUCAUUUAAACCUUCAAGCUAUGCUUGGUGUUGGGUGUUUGUUCCGCCUCUGCGCGUGGACUCGCCUCAAAUUCAUUGGCAGCCGGUAUGUUGGCUUCGUGCGCAGCACAUUGCAAGCGAUUUCAACAGACAUCCUUCCAUAAGCCCUUUUUUUACUUUGAACUCGGAUCAGGUAGGGAUACCCGCUGAACUUAAGCAUAUCAAUAAGCGGAGGA
This 331-nucleotide unclassified non-coding RNA is filed under the name soil metagenome. RNAcentral describes it as "partial contains 5.8S ribosomal RNA, internal transcribed spacer 2, and large subunit ribosomal RNA". The stretch from base 1 to 120 matches the Rfam family "5.8S ribosomal RNA", at positions 35 to 154 of the family's 154-position model. The record is from RNAcentral.